This 520-nucleotide ribosomal RNA is filed under the name uncultured Gammaproteobacteria bacterium. RNAcentral's name for it is "bacterial SSU rRNA". It matches the Rfam family "Bacterial small subunit ribosomal RNA", at positions 9 to 524 of the family's 1533-position model. The record is from RNAcentral. Lineage: Bacteria; Pseudomonadati; Pseudomonadota; Gammaproteobacteria.
GAGUUUGAUCAUGGCUCAGAGUGAACGCUGGCGGCAGGCCUAACACAUGCAAGUCGAGCGGCAGCGCGGGGGCAACCCUGGCGGCGAGCGGCGGACGGGUGAGGAAUGCAUCGGAAUCUACCUCGUUGUGGGGGAUAACCUCGGGAAACCGGGACUAAUACCGCAUACGACCUACGGGUGAAAGUGGGGGACCGCAAGGCCUCACGCGAUGAGAUGAGCCGAUGCCGGAUUAGCUAGUUGGCGGGGUAAAGGCCCACCAAGGCGACGAUCCGUAGCUGGUCUGAGAGGAUGAUCAGCCACACUGGAACUGAGACACGGUCCAGACUCCUACGGGAGGCAGCAGUGGGGAAUAUUGGACAAUGGGCGCAAGCCUGAUCCAGCCAUGCCGCGUGUGUGAAGAAGGCCUCCGGGUUGUAAAGCACUUUUGUUGGGGAAGAAACCGGCCGGGUUAAUACCCUGGUUGAAUGACGGUACCCAAAGAAUAAGCACCGGCUAACUUCGUGCCAGCCGCCGCAGUAAU